GGGAGGGAGGGAGGGAGAGAGAGAGAGAGAGAGAGAGAGAGAGAGAUUUUUUAAUAUUUAUUUUUUAGUUUUCGGCGGACACAACAUCUUUGUUUGUAUGUGGUGCUGAGGAUCGAACCCGGGCCGCACACAUGCCAGGCAAGCGCGCUACCGCUUGAGCCACAUCCCCAGCCCCUUGAGCCACAUCCCCAGCCCAAAAUUCAUAUUUUUAUAAGAACAGCCAGUCAGUACAGCAAUCUCUCCCCCUUCUCUCUCUCUCUCUCUCUCUCUCUCUCUCUCUCUCUCUCUCUCUCUCU
RNAcentral lists this microRNA precursor (296 nucleotides) under Marmota monax (woodchuck). The record is from RNAcentral. Lineage: Eukaryota; Metazoa; Chordata; Mammalia; Rodentia; Sciuridae.